Molecule: non-coding RNA, 4690 nt
Organism: Danio rerio (zebrafish)
Lineage: Eukaryota; Metazoa; Chordata; Actinopteri; Cypriniformes; Danionidae
Source: RefSeq, a predicted model, not a curated record
GCUUCGCAAACUCAGAGUCCUGUUACUGAACGCCGGAGAUUUGGGAGUGAAGGAGCAGCUCUACUCCUUUUUCUGUUUGCAGGCAGCUUUUCUUCGCACAUCUAAAGGACGCGCACUUCGUUCGCCUCAUCGCGCAGAGUCUGACACUCAGGAUUGAAGCAUGGAUGAUGAUUUCGAGCGCCGCAGGGAGCUCAGGAGACAGAAGCGCGAGGAGAUGCGUCUGGAGGCUGAGAGGAUGGCAUAUCGGCGCAGUGAGGAGGAUGAGGAGGAGGCUGCUCGAGAGCGCAGAAGAAGAGCGAGACAGGAGAGAAUGCGCAGUAAAGACAGUGAAGACGUGGCCUUCCAACCUGAGACCCCAGAACUCAACAACAGCCACAGUGUGACUGUGUCUGAGAGCAUCUCCACCUCAGUGCUGAGCUCCAGCGGGACAGGCGAGGGGGACGAGGAGGAGCAGGCCCUGCUGGAGCGCCUUGCCAAGAGAGAGGAGCGCAGGAUGAGGAGGAUGAAGGAGGCGCUGGAGAGACAGAAGGAGGAUGAAGAGGAAAGCAGCAGCAGCAGCCUGAGACGAGGCAGGAGCUACGAGCCUGAAGAGCAACACAACAACAACAACAACCAAGAGGAGAAGGAGGAGGAGAAACAAGAAGAGGAAGAGGAGGAGGAGGACGUCAGAUGUAGAGAAGAAGAAGAGGAGGAGGAGCAGCGAGUGGAGGAGAAGCAACAAAGGUCUUAUUUAAGCGAACGGGAGUCGGUUGAGGAAAUAUCUAAAAUACCUGAUGAGGGGAAUAAUGAGCGAGAUGCUGUAGCUUCAUCUGAAGUCCGCGAGGUGAUUUUAAAUGAAGAUGUAAAUGAUUCUCAAGUUGUUUUGGAGCCGGAUGUGGAAAAUGACGCCUCGAGUGUACACCAGGAAAGCAGUGAGAUAGAGCGAUUGACAGAGAAUGGAGUGGAUGAAAUGAGAGAGGCAGAAAACUUUGAGAAAGAUGAGGCAGAGGUUUCAGAAAAUGAGGAGGCGUUGAUGGAAGACGAAGAUGUGAUGAGGAAGAAUAAACAGCCCAACGGAGGAGUGUGCGAGGACAGUCCUCCCAAACACAAGAAAGCCGAGAGGACUUUCAGCCGAGGCAGUUUGCGUUCUCCCGAGGCGCCGGACGCAGACGAUGAAGAUGCGCGUCUGGAGGCGGAGAGGAAGCUGGAGGAGCUGAAGAGGAGGAGAGAUGAGAUGGAGAGCGAGGAGUUUGAGAAGAUGCGGCAGAAGCAGCAGGAGGCCGAGGUGGAGCUGGAGGAGCUGAAGAGGAAGAGGGAGGAGAGGAGGAAGGUGCUGGAGGAGGAGGAGCGGCGGAGGAAGCAGGACGAGGCUGACAGGAAAACCAGAGAGGAGGAGGAAAAGAGGAGGAUGAAGGAGGAGAUAGAGAAGAGAAGAGCAGAGGCGGCCGAAAAGCGUCAGAAAGUGGAGGAUUCAGUGGACGGAGAGGCCAGAAAGCCUUUUAAGUGUGUCAGUCCCAGAGGAUCCUCACUGAAGAUCGGUGAAAGGGCAGAAUUUCUCAACAGAUCAGCACAGAAAAGUUCUGUGAAGGCGUCUCACACUCCUGUGGUGUCUAAGAUUGAUAACCGAUUAGAGCAGUACACCACCGCGGUGCAGGGCAACAAGGAGGUCAGAUCUCCCAGAUCAGGCGCCAUAGAUCUUCCAAUGGUGACGGACGGCAUUCGCAACAUCAAGAGCAUGUUUGAGAAGGGAAAUGUCUUCAGCUCUGGCGGGAGCCCAGCUUCCACCAAUAAGGAUGCAGCUGGGAUAAAGGUGGGCGUGGCCGGUCGCAUCAAUGAUUGGUUGAAUAAAACUCCAGAGACAGGCAAAAUGUCAGGAGGAAGACCUGCUGACCUGAAACCGGGCGACGUGACCAGCAAACGCAGUCUAUGGGAAAACAAAGGCUCCUCUGCUACCAAGCUGUCCCCUAGCUAAUUGUCUACAGAUCUGACCACCUUGAGGAGGUCACAAGCAGGGGAGAGACCAAAUCUGUCACCAAUGGAAUGGGCCAUUAACCCUUCAGAGAAGCCAGAGAGGCAGGGACCAAGAGAAUGCACAACAUUCCUUUUUUUAUUAUUAUUUGUACUUUUAUUAAAACCAAAAAGAAAAAAAAAAUACAAGCAUUUUAUACAGUCAGGAUGAGAAGACACGGUAUAAAAGAGAGUAAAAAAAUAAAUAAAAAAAACUAUAUAAGUAUAUAUUUUAUCACUGUAUUCACCAUCUUGCACCGUCAAAACAUGAAUGCGUUGUAUAAUGUGAAAAACGAGCGAUCCUACUUUUAAUUCGGUUUGAUUAUAUAGCAAAUAUAUAACUGCAGCCAACUCGAAGCAUGACAAGAUUGUUUAAGGAGGAGGAUGAGGAGCAUAAUAUAAAUUUAGCUCAUUGAAACACGUUAGUUACCCUUCUCACCUGUUAAUUUAUAACUUGCGCAAAGCUUCACCUUGCAUUCCAUAUUGUUUGCCAGUUCAGUCCGAAUAUGAGCACCGUAGAGUAGCUGUAUUUUGUACUUUUUUUGUCGCAAUGACUUUUUUUUUUCUAAAUUGUCUUAAUAAUAUAUGUUAGCACAUAGUGUAAGUUUUUGUAAUUAACUAUAUAUUUUACAGCUUGAUACAAAAUGGUCUUUGCUUCUGCUCUCAAUAUUAUUUUAUAUCAAAGCAAGUUUUAAUUCAAGUCCAUUAUAGUUGUACUGUUAUCAUUAUUACAUUAUCGCUGGCUUUUUUUUUACUCUUGGAAACACAUCUUUUUGUAAGUGUUAAUCACUAUGUCAUGUGAAAUUAUCGGUAUUGGUGAAAGAGUGUACUCAGAAGUAAGGGAAAUGCACUUUUGGGCUUUUAGGGACAGAUCACCUAAUAAUGAGCAUUUAUUUUGUUUGUUUACCCAGCCUCAGAUAUUCCAAGAUGACUUUUGGCUGGCUUUUUCAUUUAACACUCAAAAGAAAAGACUAUUGCUGCUUGUUCAAACUGCUCUUAAAGUCAGUUAAAACAAUGCCACUUUGAAUUAUUUGGGUGGACAGCUUUAUUUAUGUUCAUACUACUUAGUGAAGUUUGUUGACAAACUAAUUUCGAGAGCAUCACAUGCUUAUGAUUGAUCACAGCUGGUCCCUCAUCAGUUCAUGAUUGAUCCACCAAUCAGAUGAUCCCUAACCCACUAUAAAUAACCAGUUUUCUAAUCUCAGUAUCCCCUUAUAUCCCCUUAUAGACCACUACUCCCCCUCCUUUUCAGAUGGGUGACAUGGUGGCUCAGUAAUUAGCACUGUUGCCUCACAGCAAGAAAGUCUCUGGGUAAAAUCUCUGGUUUCUAAUCCAUUUCUGUGCAGAGUUUGCUUGUUUUCCUCGUGCUCGCGUGGGUAUUCCCCGGGUUUUUCAGUUUCGUCCCAUAAUCCAAAAAACAUGCAACCUAAUAAAUUGAACAUAACCAAAUUGAUACCAUAGCCAAGCUCUUAGCAAGCCGUACAUCUCUCCUUAGCCUUCUUAUAUGCGUCAUUAGCCAGAAUUAAGUCAGGGGAGUUCAUCGAGAUCUACCUGAACUCAAACUCCUCUCUCGCUCUGCAAAUGGGAGAGGCUUUCUCCCGGGACAGCAUGCCAAAUAUGCUUUAUUAUUAAUCAUUAGCUAAGUUUAAACUCUAGAAAAUAUGUUAAAACACUUUUAGUUAACUUGAUCGAUAAGCAGUUUGUUUACAGUAAAGAUGAUGUGGUAUUGAAUGAACUGUGGUAGUGAAUAAAAUGCACCACUUGCAGGGUAAAAAACUCAUUAAUACCUGUAGUUCCUCAUGUCUUGUUAUUAAAAUGAUCAGUGUGUGCAAGAAAACUAUUUUAAUUACAUCAUUGUUGUCUUUAAUCCACUGCUUCAGCUCCACACUGUAAAAAGAAUCGCUGCUGGGUUCAACCCAAUUGAAAGAAUUAAGUUAACCUAGCUUUUAUACAUUCAAGUUGAACAUAAUACAAUUAAGUUGUCCCCAAAAACAGCUCCAGAAUUGUGCUGUUUUAGCUCGAGUUAGCGAAUAUAAUGAUUAAUUUAGUUUUGAAUGUAUUUGUUUAAUGUUUUUCCACUCUCAAAGUCUCAAUCUACAUCUUGGAUGGCCUGAGGGUGAGUAUAAAUGAUCUGAAAUGUUUCAUUUUCGGGUGAUCAAUCUCUUUAAAUGGCAUGAUUGAUCAAAUCUUAGCAUAUAAUGCAAGACAUUGUUUCCAAAAACACAUCCUGACUUCAGCAAAGUGAAUGUCUGAGUCAGUUUGUGUUUAUCCUUUAAGUGUUUCAGUUUCUUUCUGUGUUGCAAAUCAGUUCAUACUAAAUGGCAGCAUUGAUGUUGCCUGCUUUCGAUAGCUAGCUGGCAGAACCUCAAUAAUGUUGUCAUGUUAUAUUAAAAAAACAAAUGUGUACCACUUCUGACUUCUUUUGUCAGACAAAGAAUAUCCAGUUCUGCCACCGUAGCUUAACGCAAAUGUCUCUAAAUGUUCAACGUUCCUCUAUUCUGCUUGUAUUUCUUUGACAAUCAAGUUUUUCUUUUUUACUAUUUGUAAACACUUAUGUAUUGUUUCUGAGUAACACUAUGCAAGUCGCACCACCUUUAAUUGCAAUUACCUGAACAUUUGUAGCCACUAGUUCCAUACAGAGCAAAUGUUUCAACGUUGUAUCAUUGUCUCAGUGACCACAAUAAAGAGACCAAUGGAAAAAUCA